Molecule: long non-coding RNA, 373 nt
Filed under: Ananas comosus (pineapple)
Lineage: Eukaryota; Viridiplantae; Streptophyta; Magnoliopsida; Poales; Bromeliaceae
Description: long non-coding RNA (ACOM_LNC015709)
Source: RNAcentral
AAAUCAAACCACUUGCUCUAACGAAUCAAAUGCAAGAUCACAAGAUAAAAUUAUACUAAUUUUCACAACCUAAAAGCCAAGGUAGUGUUUGGUUCAGGUAUAAGGAAGAACUAGUUAUUACAGGAAUAGAUACAAGUAUGGGGAUAAAAAAAAUAGCGUUUGGAUGAAAAUUGGGUUGUUUUCGGGGAUAAGAAAAAUAGCGUUUGGAUAAAUAAUAUGAAAUAAGAAAAGUAGUGGACAGUUAUGUAUAGAAAAUAGAGGUGCUGGUGGGAAUAGUUAUACCAGGUUAUUUCAGAUACCCGAGUAUUAUUAUUUUCGGGUAAAAAAUUUACGUUUGAGUUCGAGAAUAGAGAGUAAUUCUUUUGGAAUGUUU